GGAGUCUGGGCCGUAUCUCAGUCCCAAUGUGGCCGUUCAACCUCUCAGUCCGGCUACUGAUCGUAGUCUUGGUGGGCCGUUACCCCGCCAACUAACUAAUCAGACAUGAGCCCAUCCCAGAGCGAUAAAUCUUUGGUUGCAGAGAGAUGCCUCCCCGCAACUUCAUGCGGUAUUAGCAGCCGUUUCCAGCUGUUGUCCCCCUCUCCAGGGCAGGUUGCUCAUGCAUUACUCACCCGUCCGCCACUAAGUCAAAGCUUCAAUUGACCGAAGUCUCUUUCCGCAGUGCUUCGUUCGACUUGCAUGUGUUAGGCACGCCGCCAGCGUUGUC
RNAcentral lists this ribosomal RNA (328 nucleotides) under uncultured Oscillospiraceae bacterium. Its description in RNAcentral is "partial 16S ribosomal RNA". Lineage: Bacteria; Bacillati; Bacillota; Clostridia; Eubacteriales; Oscillospiraceae. The record is from RNAcentral.